Molecule: ribosomal RNA, 484 nt
Filed under: uncultured bacterium
Lineage: Bacteria
Description: partial 16S ribosomal RNA
Rfam family: Bacterial small subunit ribosomal RNA
Source: RNAcentral
AUUGAACGCUGGCGGCAUGCCUUACACAUGCAAGUCGAACGGCAGCGCGGGCUUCGGCCUGGCGCCGAGUGGCGAACGGGUGAGUAAUACACCGGAACGUGCCCUGUCGUGGGGGAUAGCUUGGCGAAAGCCGGAUUAAUACCGCAUCCGACCAUAUGUCGAAAGCGGGGGAUCUUCGGUUCUCGCGCUAUUUGAGCGGCCGAUGGCAGAUUAGCUAGUUGGUGGGGUAAAGGCCUACCAAGGCGACGAUCUGUAGCUGGUCUGAGAGGACGACCAGCCACACUGGGACUGAGACACGGCCCAGACUCCUACGGGAGGCAGCAGUGGGGAAUUUUGGACAAUGGGCGAAAGCCUGAUCCAGCAAUGCCGCGUGUGUGAUGAAGGCCUUCGGGUUGUAAAGCUCUUUUAGCGGGAACGAAAAGAACUGUGCCAAAACCGCGAUGCGAUGACGGUACCCGCAGAAUAAGCACCGGCUAACUACGUG